RNAcentral lists this small nucleolar RNA (95 nucleotides) under Trichophyton rubrum BMU01672. Its description in RNAcentral is "CD-box snoRNA". It matches the Rfam family "A. fumigatus snoRNA Afu_300". Lineage: Eukaryota; Fungi; Ascomycota; Eurotiomycetes; Onygenales; Arthrodermataceae. The record is from RNAcentral.
UUACAUGAUGAUUAUUUCUAUUUUAAUAUACGCUGGAAAUACCGACUGAGACCUUCGGGUUGUUGACGUUACUAUAAAUGGCUGUUUCUGAUUUG